AUGCUUAUCUCAUGGGAGAUAUGGACGGAGCGUAAUGCCAGAGUCUUCAGAAACACGACCAUUCCUUCCAUGGUUCUAUUCAGUAAGAUCAAAGCAGAGGUGUCUCUUUGGGCGAUGGCCGGCGUGAAGCACAUGAGUGUUGUAAAGCCGCGAGAGUAG
This 159-nucleotide ribosomal RNA is filed under the name Triticum aestivum (bread wheat). RNAcentral's name for it is "partial small subunit ribosomal RNA". Lineage: Eukaryota; Viridiplantae; Streptophyta; Magnoliopsida; Poales; Poaceae. The record is from RNAcentral.